GAUUUUUUAAUAUAUUUAGUAUAUUUGUUUUACAAGCAAAAAGACCAUAAUAAUGGAAAAAUUA
Molecule: transfer RNA, 64 nt
Filed under: Laomedia astacina
Lineage: Eukaryota; Metazoa; Arthropoda; Malacostraca; Decapoda; Laomediidae
Description: tRNA-Val
Source: RNAcentral